CCGCGCUAAGCGGGGAGCCAGCGGUGCCCUGAUCCCCGGGUUCGCCCGGGGUGACCUGCAAUCCGCUUCGCAGGGCCGAAUUCCCGAUCGAGGGGUUUUUUCGGUUCCGGCGGAACCGUUUAGAGAAGCGUUGAAGCCCGGGUCCCGCGCACGCGACGCCGGCCAACCCCGUCAGGUCCGGAAGGAAGCAGCGGUAAGUCGGCCUCUCGCGGGGCGUGGAAUAACCCGGGGUGAGCCGAUCGGCGGGGAAGCCGGGUCCGGAAGCCUCGACAGAGGGUGCGCGG
This 284-nucleotide signal recognition particle RNA is filed under the name Candidatus Erginobacter occultus. RNAcentral describes it as "signal recognition particle sRNA large type". It matches the Rfam family "Bacterial large signal recognition particle RNA". From Rfam's summary of the family: The signal recognition particle (SRP) is a universally conserved ribonucleoprotein involved in the co-translational targeting of proteins to membranes. Archaeal SRP consists of a 7S RNA and homologues of the eukaryotic SRP19 and SRP54 proteins. In most bacteria, the SRP consists of a 4.5S RNA and the Ffh protein (a homologue of the eukaryotic SRP54 protein). The record is from RNAcentral. Lineage: Bacteria; Pseudomonadati; Candidatus Auribacterota; Candidatus Erginobacteria; Candidatus Erginobacterales; Candidatus Erginobacteraceae.